AUGACCCCCGCGGGAGAGUCUGAUCCACAACAUCUUGUGUUGUGAGGUCGGCGCCGAAGGAGCAACCGCCCCUGGAAACUCUCAGGCAAACGGACCGUGGGGCGAUG
This is a non-coding RNA of Magnetospirillum moscoviense, 107 nucleotides long. The record is from Rfam. Lineage: Bacteria; Pseudomonadati; Pseudomonadota; Alphaproteobacteria; Rhodospirillales; Rhodospirillaceae.